RNAcentral lists this long non-coding RNA (2256 nucleotides) under Monodelphis domestica (gray short-tailed opossum). RNAcentral describes it as "lncRNA (ENSMODG00000043728.1)". The record is from RNAcentral. Lineage: Eukaryota; Metazoa; Chordata; Mammalia; Didelphimorphia; Didelphidae.
UAUAAGAAUUGAUUGUAAGAACUGGGCAUAUAGCUCACAGAAAAAAAGAUUCGGGGUGGGAGUGGGUCAUGAUAGCUGUGUUCAAGUAUUUGAAGGACUGUCCCAUGAAGGAGGGUCUCUACUUGUUCUGUCUGGCCUCAGCAGGCAGAACCAGUAGUAAUGGAAGGGAGUUGCCAAGAGAGUUUGGUGUCAGAAAGCUUCUCAAUGAUUAAUUCUCUCUUGACAACAGAAUACUUUUCCUCCAGAGGAUGGGGAAAGGAGGAGAUUCCUCUUUUUUAGAGAUCUUUAAGCAGAGUCUGGAGAGCCACUUUUAGGGUAUAUUAUAGUAGAGAUUCCUUUUGUGUCUGAGCUAGACUAGUUGGCUGAUUAGGCUCCUUCCUCUGCAUCUGGGAAACUGGGCACUGAUAACCAAUCAAUAAACUUUUAUUGAGCAUUUACUAUGUGCCAGGCAUUGUGUUAAGUUCUAAGAAUACAAAAAGAGGCAAGAAAUAGUUUGCCCUCAGUGAACUUACAUUCUAAUGGGUGAGACAGCAAUCAAAGAAAUAUAUACAAAGUGAGCUAUAUACAGGAUAAAUAGGGAAAGGCCCUGGAAUUAAGAGGGAUUAGGAAAGGCUUCCUGUAGAAGCUGGUCUAAUCCUAGUUGGAAUUUAAGGGAAGCUAGGAAGGUAAGUAGUCAGAGCAUAGGAGGGAAGGCAUUCCAGGCAUGGGGAACAACCAGAAAGAAUACCUAGAACUGAGAUGGAGGGAUAAGCGAGCUUUCAUUCAUCUUUCCCAAAACAGGCCUCCAUAUCACUUUUCAAUCAUCUAUGCACCAUGCCUCCUGCUCCUUAUGUCCAUCCUACUAGAAACUUGGAAUGUACCCCUGGGAAGCUGGGAUCUGAUAGGUGUUAAUGAAAAAAUGCACACAAUCCUGACAGAUGGGACUGGUUCCUGAAGGAGGGACGGCCAGCUCGGUGUUUCAGAGACCACAGGACCAGCUUCCCAUCCAGAGCAAAGUCUGGUAUCCUGGAUCUGGUCCUGCUGGCUACUGGCCAAACCCAGGACAAGAUGUCCUGACACCCUCCUGGAGAAUAACAAGAAAGGAGUUUUUGCGAAUAGAGACAAGGAAGCCAUGCCAAAGACAGAAGAGCCAGAGCUUACUCAGGGGAGAAGCCAGAGACAUAGCUGGAGCAGGAGGUGACAGCACAGAUGCUGAAAGGAUGCCUGAAAAGACAACUGGAGCUGGAGGACUGUGUGCCAGCCACAAGGAGUGGUAAGUUGUUAUGUUGUUUUUGACAUUUUUCUCAGCAAUGGAAAAGGGAGGCCAGAGGGACGUACUGGGUUGGAUCUGGUAGAUGGGCUAGGACAGGUCCUUUCUGGGAUGAUAUAGUUGGGCACUGUAUGAGAGAAAGAAGAGGGAUGGUGAAGAAAGGAAGGGCUAUUCAAGCCCUGGUCCCCAGGCCUUUGCAUCCUCAUCUCACUUCUCCUCACUCCUUCAAUUUAUUCCUUUCCUAUAUCUUCUCUUGGUGAUAGAUACAGGUUUGGGUUCAGGGUGAUCUUAGACCACUUUCUUGGAGAUUCUAGCUUCUCCUUGUAGCUCAUCCAGGGGAUUUUUGCUGUUGGUUCCAGGCCUUUCAACUCAAGAAUUGAAAUGGAUUACUAAACUCUGCAUUUCCUGACUUUCCUAGAAACUGAGUUCAGAGACCUGCCUCUACUGAUCCCUAAUUACCUUCCCCCUCCUUCUUGCCACUAACACUCUGUUGUUCAUGUCCAGCACUCAUUGCCUUUUCUCUUCUCUUCCCUUUAUCCAUAUACUCCACAAACAUUUUCUGAGUUUUGUUUACAAAAGAGAAAAAGAAUUAGGAAAAUUAAGAAAUGAUAAUAUCCAUGAAAGCAAAUUAUCAGUGUACAUAAUACAAAACUGAACCAACUUAGAGCAGAUGGCCCUUUAAUUUCCUUAAAGCAUUGUAUCAAGCUUCAGUUCUGCAGGAACUGACUGGCAUGGCCUGGGCUAGUUCUCUAUAGGUCAGAUUCUGUUCCUUUGUGGUUUUCAGGUGAGAAUGUCCUAGCUCAUCUCUCUCCUUCCCCCAUUCCUGCUGAAUUGGAAUUGUUCCACCUGAAUGCUCUGGCUCAAGCUUUUUCCUCUACGAUUGAUUUUACCAUCCCAAUCUCAUUCACAUUCAAUCAGGAAGCCUCUUCACUGGAUGACAGAAAAUUUCAUAUCAUCUUAAAUUUCAAGCUAGAAGAGACUUAGAGGUCAGGUAAUUUAGUUCUCUU